This 411-nucleotide ribosomal RNA is filed under the name uncultured bacterium. RNAcentral describes it as "partial 16S ribosomal RNA". It matches the Rfam family "Bacterial small subunit ribosomal RNA", at positions 355 to 757 of the family's 1533-position model. The record is from RNAcentral.
UGGGGAAUAUUGCACAAUGGGCGCAAGCCUGAUGCAGCCAUGCCGCGUGUGUGAAGAAGGCCUUCGGGUUGUAAAGCACUUUCAGCGAGGAGGAAGGGUUCAGUGUUAAUAGCACUGUGCAUUGACGUUACUCGCAGAAGAAGCACCGGCUAACUCCGUGCCAGCAGCCGCGGUAAUACGGAGGGUGCAAGCGUUAAUCGGAAUUACUGGGCGUAAAGCGCACGCAGGCGGUUCGUUAAGUCAGAUGUGAAAUCCCCGCGCUUAACGUGGAACUGCAUUUGAAACUGGCAAGCUAGAGUCUUGUAGAGGGGGGUAGAAUUCCAGGUGUAGCGGUGAAAUGCGUAGAGAUCUGGAGGAAUACCGGUGGCGAAGGCGGCCCCCCUGGACAAAGACCUGACGCUCAGGUGCGAA